This 271-nucleotide ribosomal RNA is filed under the name uncultured archaeon. Its description in RNAcentral is "partial 16S ribosomal RNA". It matches the Rfam family "Archaeal small subunit ribosomal RNA", at positions 477 to 747 of the family's 1478-position model. The record is from RNAcentral.
CGGCGCCACAAGUGGCAAUCACGUUUAUUGGGCCUAAAGCGUCCGUAGCCGGUUUAGCAAAUCUUUUGUGAAAUCGUCAGGCUUAACUUGACGAAUUGCAGAAGACACUACUAAACUAGGGACUGGGAGGAGUCGGAAGUAUUCUGGGGGGACCGGUAAAAUGGUAUAAUCCCCAGAGGACUACCGAUGGCGAAGGCAUCUGACCAGAACAGAUCCGACGGUGAGGGACGAAAGCCAGGGGAGCAAACCGGAUUAGAUACCCGAGUAGUCC